UAAGUUAGAGCUUGAUAAGCAUUUUAGUUACAUUAAAAAGAUAAUUGUAAAUUCAAUUUAACUUAA
This 66-nucleotide transfer RNA is filed under the name Latridiidae sp. 1 KM-2017. RNAcentral's name for it is "tRNA-Val". Lineage: Eukaryota; Metazoa; Arthropoda; Insecta; Coleoptera; Latridiidae. The record is from RNAcentral.